GAUGAACGCUAGCUACAGGCUUAACACAUGCAAGUCGAGGGGAAACGGCAUUGAGUGCUUGCACUCUUUGGACGUCGACCGGCGCACGGGUGAGUAACGCGUAUCCAACCUUCCCAUUACUGUGGGAUAACCUGCCGAAAGGCAGACUAAUACCGCAUAGUCUUCGAUGACGGCAUCAGAUUUGAAGUAAAGAUUUAUCGGUAAUGGAUGGGGAUGCGUCUGAUUAGCUUGUUGGCGGGGUCACGGCCCACCAAGGCGACGAUCAGUAGGGGUUCUGAGAGGAAGGUCCCCCACAUUGGAACUGAGACACGGUCCAAACUCCUACGGGAGGCAGCAGUGAGGAAUAUUGGUCAAUGGACGGAAGUCUGAACCAGCCAAGUAGCGUGCAGGAUGACGGCCCUAUGGGUUGUAAACUGCUUUUGUAUGGGGAUAAAGUUAGGGAUGUGUCCCUAUUUGCAGGUACCAUACGAAUAAGGACCGGCUAAUUCCGUG
RNAcentral lists this ribosomal RNA (492 nucleotides) under uncultured bacterium. Its description in RNAcentral is "partial 16S ribosomal RNA". It matches the Rfam family "Bacterial small subunit ribosomal RNA", at positions 28 to 507 of the family's 1533-position model. The record is from RNAcentral.